UGGCUUAGAUGGUAAAGCGUCUGCCUACAAUGCAGGAGACCCGGGUUCAAUCCCUUG
This 57-nucleotide transfer RNA is filed under the name Ovis aries (sheep). It matches the Rfam family "tRNA", at positions 8 to 63 of the family's 71-position model. From Rfam's summary of the family: Transfer RNA (tRNA) molecules are approximately 80 nucleotides in length. Their secondary structure includes four short double-helical elements and three loops (D, anti-codon, and T loops). The record is from Rfam by way of RNAcentral. Lineage: Eukaryota; Metazoa; Chordata; Mammalia; Artiodactyla; Bovidae.